CUUGAAAUACCACCCUUUAAUGUUUGAUGUUCUAACGUGGACCCGUUACCCGGGUUGCGGACAGUGUCUGGUGGGUAGUUUGACUGGGGCGGUCUCCUCCUAAAGAGUAACGGAGGAGCACGAAGGUUGGCUAAUCCUGGUCGGACAUCAGGAGGUUAGUGCAAUGGCAUAAGCCAGCUUGACUGCGAGCGUGACGGCGCGAGCAGGUGCGAAAGCAGGUCAUAGUGAUCCGGUGGUUCUGAAUGGAAGGGCCAUCGCUCAACGGAUAAAAGGUACUCCGGGGAUAACAGGCUGAUACCGCCCAAGAGUUCAUAUCGACGGCGGUGUUUGGCACCUCGAUGUCGGCUCAUCACAUCCUGGGGCUGAAGUAGGUCCCAAGGGUAUGGCUGUUCGCCAUUUAAAGUGGUACGCGAGCUGGGUUUAGAACGUCGUGAGACAGUUCGGUCCCUAUCUGCCGUGGGCGCUGGAGAACUGAGGGGGGCUGCUCCUAGUACGAGAGGACCGGAGUGGACGCAUCACUGGUGUUCGGGUUGUCAUGCCAAUGGCACUGCCCGGUAGCUAAAUGCGGAAGAGAUAAGUGCUGAAAGCAUCUAAGCACGAAACUUGCCCCGA
Molecule: ribosomal RNA, 612 nt
Filed under: Salmonella enterica
Lineage: Bacteria; Pseudomonadati; Pseudomonadota; Gammaproteobacteria; Enterobacterales; Enterobacteriaceae
Also listed under: 3 other names
Description: partial 23S ribosomal RNA
Rfam family: Bacterial large subunit ribosomal RNA
Source: RNAcentral